RNAcentral lists this microRNA (19 nucleotides) under Tribolium castaneum (red flour beetle). Its description in RNAcentral is "tca-miR-3858-5p". Lineage: Eukaryota; Metazoa; Arthropoda; Insecta; Coleoptera; Tenebrionidae. The record is from miRBase by way of RNAcentral.
AGUGAAGCGAAGUUUUUUC